Molecule: small nucleolar RNA, 126 nt
Organism: Cynocephalus volans (Philippine flying lemur)
Lineage: Eukaryota; Metazoa; Chordata; Mammalia; Dermoptera; Cynocephalidae
Product: small nucleolar RNA SNORA33
Exons: 1
Source: RefSeq, a predicted model, not a curated record
UGAUCAAAAUCAAAAGCUUAGAGAACAGUGUUUCUGCAGAAAUUUUGAACAAGCUGGCAAUAGUAAGGCCAUGUUAUGAGCCUCCAGGACACUGAAGUCAUUUAGGUCCUGAAAAUGGCUACAACA